GCCACUGGAGAAAGAGACAGCUAGAUGGAGGGGACAGGCUCAGGGGUAGGGGGACUUCAUGCCCCGUGCCAGCAGCAUCUCAACCAUUGGCAGGGAACACCCGCCCCUCCACGCAGCCCCUUCAUGCCCUCUGAUGCUUUCUCCAAAACGAAGAAGCGGACGUCUCUGGGGCGGCUACUUGAGAAGUUACAUUCAAGGCGGACUCGGUUCCCAGAGCGAAUCUCAGAAGAGGGGAUGAUCUGCUGGACCCUGACAUCCUUGGGGGCAUCUGGAGAGCAAGGGCCUCAGGCUGGCCUCUUGGGUCCCUUUCCCUCUUCCCGUCCCCAUGAUUUCCUCUCCCCUUGGCCCUGAGGCCAGAUUCUCAGCCCUUAAUUCUCUGCGAAGGUUCCGGCCCAGGCCCUAGGUCCCUCGCCCUGAGAACCCAUAUCACAGCUGGGCUACCUCUUGGGUGCCCUUGCCCAGUCACUCACACUGGACAUCCAGGUUGACAAUGGGAGCCCACGAACACCACUGGUUACAGGCUGCACAGGUGAUUGGCCUGGUGUUCCAGGCAACUUUUUGAAUUAUCAGCACCUCAUGUGGUUGUUUCAUCUGAGAGCCUUGGAAGUUCCAUACAUAUUGGGUAACUCCGGGAUUGCUGGAGCUGUAGUUACAGGACAGGGUCACAGUAUCUCCUUCUUGAAUCCGCAUGGGGUUUUCAAUCACCGUGGUUACCUCUUUGGGAGCAUCUGGGAGAAAACCAGACAGAUGGGCGAGGAAAAGUCUGCUGUCCAGGCUACCUUUCCCAGGGCCUUCUCCACCACGCCCCACCCCAGCAUAUCCCCUGCAUUCACACAGUUCCUAAAUCAACCAAAGGAAGGCUUGUGCUUCCCUCCUGGGUCUGUACGAGGACCAGAGCCCUGGCUGUGGUCUGAGGCGUGGUGACUAGAGCAGAGCUCAAGCAGAGAAUGCAUGGGGUAUGCAAGGUAGAAGUGCUCCAUCUGUGGGUCUCCUCGGGGACCUGGGGCACAGCGCUAGUCUGCUGUAGUGCAGGCAUUAAGGGGGGGGGGGGGGGAGUGCGGAGCACAGCCCUGGAGCCGGAUGGGCUGAGAGCUGAGUGAUGGUGGGCUGUGGGACUCAGUGUGCUCUCCAUCAGAUGGAGUCCUAAGAACACCUGACCUGGUAGAGUCCCUGCCAGGGGGACCUGGGAUGAAGCCCUCAGAGAGGAGUAAACAGUCUGGAAACGUGGCUGUUGCUGCUGCUUCACACACCCACUGUCUAGAUGUUCAGGGUUCGAGCAUCCCCAUCAGAGUGAGUAUCUGACUCAGACUCGGACAUCUCGGGGUCCAAGGCUCAAACUUAGGGAUUCUCUUGGUCCCGGGCUUGACUGACAGACGAGACUAUGCUAAACAGGGUCUGGCCUCUGAUGAGAGGCGUGAGACAUUUUGCUCCAGUUCUCAAAACUUCAGGCCCCCUUCUGGAGCUCCAGCACUGUCUAAGUGACACCAAGUUCUCCGCGUCCCUCACGGGCCCUGGCAUCUUGCUGUUCAUUCAUUCAGCAAACAUCUACUGAGCACCUGUUACGAGCCAGACCCUGUUCUGACGCUGGGUAUACAACUCAGAACAGUAGUGAGGCACCUGCCCAAGGAGCGUACGUGUCGGGAGACCCCCUGCUUGCCAGGGGGGUCCAGGACUCUCCUUCACCCCAUUGGCCUGCCUCCUUCUCCCGCUAGAACCCGGAGGCUCUGUGACUACUCACACUGGAUGUCUAACUCAGUCUCCUGGCCAAUUUGACUAGAACCAAGUCUGUUUUCUGCCAUGCAUGAGUAUUUCCCAGCUUGGCUGAGGAGAACCGCUGGGAUCUGGAAGAUCUUGCUUGUCCUUCCCGGCACUGCCACCCCGUUGUGAUACCAGGUGUAAUUGGUUGGAGGAGGAUUGGCCAGUGACAUACAAGUCAUCACUACUUGAUCCCCCUCCUUAGCUGUCGAGGAGAAGAUCUCAACCCUGGAAGGUUCCGGAGCAUCUGCAGAGGCAGAAGAGGGAGGUGAACAGAGGCCCCUGUUGCUCCAGGGCCUCAGUUCCACGCCCUGCUAACUCCCUGCCUGCCCCCCGCUCCCAGCUCCCAGGAGGCUCACAAUACACUUGGAGGACCACUGCAUCCGACUGUCCUGAGCCUACGUCAUUGAAGGCCUCACACUGGUACUUUCCACUCAUCUUCUUGGUCACAGAGAACAGAGUUAGCGUGGAUGUCUUCUGCUCCCUCAGCCGGGUGCCGUCUUUGAGCCAGGCUAUGUUCCGGACCUCUGGGUUGCUGCUAAUGACCUGGCACGUCAUGGUCACAGACUCUCCCUCUGUUACAUUGACUUCUUUGGGACUGCCCUCAAUCUUCAACUUUGGGACAUCUGGAGGAGCAGAGGGGCAGCGGGAGAGGGGGGCGGAGACUUCUCAGAGGGGGCCACGUGGGGUGGGAUGUUACAGGGCUUUGAUUCAGAUAAAGCAGCGGCCUAUACACAGUGGGUGAGGGUGGGCGGAACUUGCUGUCCCCCUUGUCAACAAGGGUGGGCUGGUCCAAGCACCUGGUGACUGUCACCACACUCCUAACCAGUCUCUGCUCUGUGCACCACCCUUUAACCUGUUCCCAGAGUUCUGGUCUCCACCAGCAGUCAGCUGUCUUCCUGAUCCUGUCCGUCAGACUUGGCCCCUCCCCUGCUUGAAACUGCUCAGUGGAUUCCCCAUGCAGAAUAAAAUCCAAAACUGCACUGCCACCCACGAGGUCUGGCGUUGGCCCUCCUUUCCUACCACUUGGCCCCUUGGACACAGGUCUGAGGCUCUCCGGCCCCUCACUCUGACCCAGGUGCACCAAGCUCCCGCCCCCAGGCCUUUGUCCUUCCUCUUUUCUUUUCCUGGGAUCUUCUGGCAAAUAGCUGCCUGUCUCAAUCUUUCCCUCCACCCAAGCUCACUGUCCUCAGAGAGGCCUCUGUCCCUCCCUCUCUCUGUCGGAGCCCAGCUUUGCUUCCCUCUAAUACACUUAUCACUGCCUACCCUUAA
Mustela lutreola (European mink) is the source of this 3027-nucleotide long non-coding RNA. RefSeq lists it as uncharacterized. The transcript is spliced from 2 exons. The record is from RefSeq and is a predicted model, not a curated record. Lineage: Eukaryota; Metazoa; Chordata; Mammalia; Carnivora; Mustelidae.